This 200-nucleotide unclassified non-coding RNA is filed under the name uncultured fungus. Its description in RNAcentral is "sequence contains ITS1, 5.8S rRNA gene". Lineage: Eukaryota; Fungi. The record is from RNAcentral.
CCGAACCGUCGACGUGAGUUGUUGCUGGUCUCCUGUGGGACACGUGCACGCUCCGUCAACACAUCCACUCACACCCGUGCACCCUCUGUAGUUCUCAUGGUGUGGGGGACCUGUGGUCCUCCCACCGUGGCUCUACGUAUUUACACACACACCGUGAUGAAGUCUUAUGGAAUGUAUACCGCGUUUAACGCAAUACAAUA